AACGAACGCUGGCGGCAUGCCUAACACAUGCAAGUCGAACGAAGCCUUCGGGCUUAGUGGCGCACGGGUGCGUAACACGUGGGAAUCUGCCCUUUGGUUCGGAAUAACAGUUAGAAAUGACUGCUAAUACCGGAUAAUGACGUAAGUCCAAAGAUUUAUCGCCGAAGGAUGAGCCCGCGUAGGAUUAGGUAGUUGGUGGGGUAAUGGCCCACCAAGCCGACGAUCCUUAGCUGGUCUGAGAGGAUGAUCAGCCACACUGGGACUGAGACACGGCCCAGACUCCUACGGGAGGCAGCAGUGGGGAAUAUUGGACAAUGGGCGAAAGCCUGAUCCAGCAAUGCCGCGUGAGUGAUGAAGGCCUUAGGGUUGUAAAGCUCUUUUACCAGGGAUGAUAAUGACAGUACCUGGAGAAUAAGCUCCGGCUAAACUCCGUG
RNAcentral lists this ribosomal RNA (434 nucleotides) under uncultured bacterium. RNAcentral describes it as "bacterial SSU rRNA". It matches the Rfam family "Bacterial small subunit ribosomal RNA", at positions 29 to 507 of the family's 1533-position model. The record is from RNAcentral.